AGUGAACGCUGGCGGUAGGCCUAACACAUGCAAGUCGAACGGCAGCACAGUAAGGGCUUGCUCUUACGGGUGGCGAGUGGCGGACGGGUGAGGAAUACAUCGGAAUCUACUUUUUCGUGGGGGAUAACGUAGGGAAACUUACGCUAAUACCGCAUACAACCUACGGGUGAAAGCAGGGGAUCUUCGGACCUUGCGCGAUUGAAUGAGCCGAUGUCGGAUUAGCUAGUUGGCGGGGUAAAGGCCCACCAAGGCGACGAUCCGUAGCUGGUCUGAGAGGAUGAUCAGCCACACUGGAACUGAGACACGGUCCAGACUCCUACGGGAGGCAGCAGUGGGGAAUAUUGGACAAUGGGCGCAAGCCUGAUCCAGCCAUACCGCGUGGGUGAAGAAGGCCUUCGGGUUGUAAAGCCCUUUUGUUGGGAAAGAAAAGCAGCAGGUUAAUACCCCGCUGUUCUGACGGUACCCAAAGAAUAAGCACCGGCUAACUUCGUG
This 492-nucleotide ribosomal RNA is filed under the name uncultured bacterium. RNAcentral's name for it is "partial 16S ribosomal RNA". It matches the Rfam family "Bacterial small subunit ribosomal RNA", at positions 29 to 507 of the family's 1533-position model. The record is from RNAcentral.